GAAAGCCGGAUGCGGGAAAUCUGCACGUCCGGUUUGACGAGGGGGAGGGCUGCCGGAUUUCCGGCACCCUCUCUACUCUAC
Molecule: non-coding RNA, 81 nt
Organism: Leptonema illini DSM 21528
Lineage: Bacteria; Pseudomonadati; Spirochaetota; Leptospiria; Leptospirales; Leptospiraceae
Source: Rfam